Molecule: ribosomal RNA, 229 nt
Filed under: uncultured bacterium
Lineage: Bacteria
Description: partial 16S ribosomal RNA
Rfam family: Bacterial small subunit ribosomal RNA
Source: RNAcentral
AGAGUUUGAUCAUGGCUCAGGAUGAACGCUGGCGGCGUGCCUAACACAUGCAAGUCGAGCGAAGCACUUUACUCUGAUUUCUUCGGAUUGAAGAGUGAUUUGACUGAGCGGCGGACGGGUGAGUAACGCGUGGGUAACCUGCCUCACACAGGGGGAUAACAGUUAGAAAUGACUGCUAAUACCGCAUAAGGCCACAGCACCGCAUGGUGCAGGGGUAAAAACUCCGCGG